UCCUUCAAAUCUAUCCUUUUUGUAUGGCUCAGAAAUCUGGACGCUAUAUCUAUGAUUUGUUUCUUUUGGUCCAAAGAACAUUUAUGAUUGUUUUUCAACUUUUUUGGACAAAUUGAGAUGAACAAACUAGAGGUGCAGCAACUAGUUGCAACAAAUCUAAUACAAACUGUAACAUAAAUAAGAUGGCCAGGCAAGUACAGAUGUGAGAACGUUUAUCACGAAUUCAACUAACAAAAAAUUGGAUAUUUCUACUCUUUAAAAUUGUGCGUGAAAGUCAACAUUCAGAUCAAUAUGGUUAAUU
This 301-nucleotide ribosomal RNA is filed under the name Triticum aestivum (bread wheat). RNAcentral describes it as "partial small subunit ribosomal RNA". Lineage: Eukaryota; Viridiplantae; Streptophyta; Magnoliopsida; Poales; Poaceae. The record is from RNAcentral.